Solanum tuberosum (potato) is the source of this 1513-nucleotide RNA transcript. It is a transcript of the gene named F-box/LRR-repeat protein At5g63520-like, with no coding region annotated. The transcript has 9 exons. The record is from RefSeq and is a predicted model, not a curated record. Lineage: Eukaryota; Viridiplantae; Streptophyta; Magnoliopsida; Solanales; Solanaceae.
GUUUUGUUCUAAGCAAUAAUUCAAUUCUUCAAGAAUCAACUUGAAUUUACUUUCAAUUUAGUAUAAAUGGAGCAUGUCAGGACACAUAACUGAGCUUUUGGAUUACUGAAACAUCAGAGGAAGGAAUUCCAGUCAACUAAAAUGAAUUGUUUGCUUUUGUUUUAUUUUUGGUGUAAACAGAGUUAUGUAAAUGAUGCUGAAGCAGUGAUAGAUCUCAUAGAAUCCUUUUAAGAUAGAAUGGGUAUUCUUCUGGCGCUUUGUAAAUAUUUUUGACAGCUAUGUUUGCUUGGACUAUCCAAAAUGUUGCUGCACAUGUGUCGGUUCACAUUUUUGGAGGGCCUAGAACCCGCCCAAAGGCGUUUUGAAGAGUCAGAGCAACAUAGUUUGACAGCACCUUGUGAUCGCUGGUAGAUUUGGCUCCCAAAUUCCAGUAAUUACUUCGAUAUCCCAAGGAAUUUUUGGGCAAAAUGCUACCACUAAUGAGUUUGAAGAGGUUCAGUGGGACACGUUUGAUGAUGAUGAGGAGGCUCAUGCCGAUCUUGGUAAUGAGAUCCACGGUGCUUUACUAACUGUUGGCUUCUUGCCAGGACUGGCAAUUGAUUUAAUCUCAUUAUCAAAAACUCGGGGAAAUCAAGUACUCAUGAUUGAUGAUCUCGUGCUCAGUGUCAGGGAACGCUCAUUCUCUCGAUCUGGAUCAGCAUCACCGGUGGGGAUUUUGUUAUUUUCUGAUGAGGAUACUGACAUCAAACUUGUCCUUGAAAAGUUUGAUUAUGCCUUUUCCACUGAGACUGUCAUUGUGGGUGACGGAGGUUCUCAGUUUUUAUACCGAGGUGAAACUGCAAUUAAUCCUUCUAAUAACAAAGCGGCGAGUUCUGCUGCUGUUGCUCUUUUAUUUUCAAGGGAUAGAGGCAAACCUCCUGGUGUUGGGGAAACUCAGUUUCACGUAAUGUUAUCCACUGGCAUUUCAUCGAUUGGGCCUACAUACAAAGCUGUUUCUGUUAGGGAGAGAUCCAGUGACUACUCCACUUGGCUCACUGCAAAAAGAGAAGCAGUUCAUGGAAGUCUGGAUGGUCAGACUAUUUUAGAUCAGAUUUAUGAUGAGCUGGUUUGUUUAGAAAGGAGACUAUCAAAUGCUUACAAGAUAUGUAGUGUAACUAGUCUCGUUUCCUCUUCCUCUGAUUCCUCCACUGUAGUGAAGCCUUUUAAGUUCAGAAUUGUGGGGAGAUCCAUCAAAUGCCAGAAUACUCUUGCCUCACUUUAGCAGGGAUGAGCAUGCAAUGUGUUUAGAGAGAUGCAUUAUGGCAGAUUGGAGAUAUUUGGAUGAUUAGAGUCUAUCAUUCUGUCUUUGCUUAUUUUCAAAUUCCAUUGGUAGAUCUCAAAGAAUGUGGGCCUUACAAAUCAAGGCUAUAAAAAGUUUUACAGAACUUGGAGGUCAUAACAAUUGUCCAGUUCUAUAUGUUGGAGUUACGAAGAGAAGGAAAUGCUCUAUUGGCCAGGAAAAACCAAGCUGGAU